AUUGAACGCUGGCGGCAGGCUUAACACAUGCAAGUCGAGCGGGGUGAUGGUGCUUGCACUAUCACUUAGCGGCGGACGGGUGAGUAAUGCUUAGGAAUCUGCCUAUUAGUGGGGGACAACAUCUCGAAAGGGAUGCUAAUACCGCAUACGUCCUACGGGAGAAAGCAGGGGAUCACUUGUGACCUUGCGCUAAUAGAUGAGCCUAAGUCGGAUUAGCUAGUUGGUGGGGUAAAGGCCUACCAAGGCGACGAUCUGUAGCGGGUCUGAGAGGGUGAUCCGCCACACUGGGGCUGAGACACGGCCCAGACUCCUACUGGAGGCAGCAGUGGGGAAUAUUGGACAAUGGGGGGAACCCUGAUCCAGCCAUGCCGCGUGUGUGAAGAAGGCCUUAUGGUUGUAAAGCACUUUAAGCGAGGAGGAGGCUCUUUUGGUUAAUACCCAAGAUGAGUGGACGUUACUCGCAGAAUAAGCACCGGCUAACUCUGUGCCAGCCGCCGCCGUAA
RNAcentral lists this ribosomal RNA (503 nucleotides) under uncultured bacterium. RNAcentral describes it as "partial 16S ribosomal RNA". It matches the Rfam family "Bacterial small subunit ribosomal RNA", at positions 30 to 523 of the family's 1533-position model. The record is from RNAcentral.